UAUGCUGCGCAGCCCAGCUAUUUUAGCAU
RNAcentral lists this non-coding RNA (29 nucleotides) under Mus musculus (house mouse). Lineage: Eukaryota; Metazoa; Chordata; Mammalia; Rodentia; Muridae. The record is from RNAcentral.